AAAUUGGACCUGGGUGCCAAACGAGCUGUGAGCCAUAGGAGGAGGGGGCAGCUUCUAAGAGAAGCUGUCGUAAAAUCAAGGAAGAACUGGCCCUUUUAUUCCCGUCUGGAGGGUUCAUCUCCUGACUCCUGGCAGCAAUCAAGUCCCAAACCCCAAUGGUUCAUUCAUGUACAAGCCGAUAAUUCGAAACUUGCAGCUACAUCGUAAAGCAUUUCGAGCUACUGCCCAAUCUAAUUUACUCUGUCGAACAUGGCUCCGCCCACGCUCCUGCGACGCACCGCGCCGGUGCGCGCAGCCACCGCCGCCGCCGCUGCUGGGCCGCUUUGCUUCCAGCCGUGUCACUCCCCUGCAUCACCGCCGUGCCCCCCUGGUUUCUCCAGCCCAAGGUUUUCUCGCGAGGACCUCGUUCUCUUGCUUUUCCCGCAGCUGGCUGGAUCCACGCCAGAUCCAGUGCUGCUGCCGGGGUGCUCUACCUCUCCAGGCUCGCCAUUUGUUCCGGAUCCCCUCCCAGAAGAUCCACCCGCGGCUCCUGCUUCCGUUGCCCGGGUCCAGCCCGGAAGGUCUGCUUUGCUGCUGCUGAAGACCUGCUGAAUCCAGCUCCUGCUAAGCUCAUCCAUGGCGCCCCCAGGUCAUGCCUGAAGACGGCGCGGUCUGCUACCUUCUCUGCCGGUCAGGGCGCGGCGCGGACGCCCAUACCUUCAAAUCCUGCGACGCCUCGUGCGAUGUCUUUCAAGCCGUUGGGUGUGGAUGCAAGCUCGGAGGAGGGUUGGAAGCUGGUUAAACCGCCGUAUUGGUGGAGAACUCUGUCUCCCAAUCUGCAUCAGUCAAGACAGAGGUCCUCGCCUUCCUUUUCCCCUCCAUCAUCAGGCAGAAUUUUUGUGAAGCAUCACCGUCGGACCUGCCAUCGCUGCCUGGAGCGGGGACAUCUCAAGAUUGACUGUCGUGACCCCUAAAAAUGUCUGAUUUGUCGACAGAGUGGGCAUCGUGCACGCCAGUGCACAAACAAAUCACCGAAGCCAGUGCAAGAACGCCUCCCGCCGCCGGCAAUGAUUCCGUCUCCCCCACUGGCAGAAGCUGAUGGAAGGAUUCUAUGCCGCCCGUGUGGUGGCCAUGGCGAUCCGGUCUGCUGGGAUGAUGUUCGUGGCUGGGACGACGGGCGCGAGGGCAACCAACGCUCCAGCGCCCCUGCUAGGCGUAUCAACAAUCGAGGCCAAGGCUCUCGCUACGAGAUGACUGCGACGGCAACUACGACAUGCGCCGUGGCCUGGAGCUCCCGACACUCGACGCCCGGUGAAUCGACAGAGGAUGUGUUCAACGACUUCCGGAUGGCGCUGUCAUCCCGGCUUUAGGCAGGAGGUCCCGAAACCGCCCAGCUGACACGCCGACGAGGAGUGCGCGCCGAAGAAACAGCACUACCAGCCCGCACAACAUUGAGACUCGUGGUCGGUCGCCACUGCCUUCUCCGCGCACUACUCACCGAGACAUCAUCGAGCUGAGACCUUCGUCGGCUGGCUCUAGGAGCAACGAAAGAUCACCGCCUUCUCCUCGCACUACAUUCCAGGACAUCAUCGAGCUGCGCCCUUCCUCAACUGCUCCUGAUUGGCUGCAUCGCGUGAGCCCGGGCCUGGGAUUGCUGGCGCCGAACAUGCCACCGGUCUGGCCUUCUUGCUCGCCGCCUCGUCUCAUGCGCUGUGCAACCUCCUCGACUACAGGCUCCUCUUCGGGCGCGACUCCAUCCACCAACAGCCUGACGUGCACCCCGGUCUUUGUACCGCAAACGCCCACCUCCUCCCCGCCAAGGACGCCUCCUAUUAGAAGAAUGAGGUCGCCAACGCGCAAUGGGCCGACUAAUCUGUUGCAGCCAUCGCCGCCUCUUCUGGAUGGCUGCACCCCGACGCACCCUUCUGGCUUGCUUCGCAUGUCCAGAACUUCUCCGAUCCCAAGUUUGCCAGCGGGGGUCGCCUCUGCUCCUCAAAGCUCCCAGGGGGACUGCUCCGACCAGCCAGAGCAAAGCACCCCCAUCUUUGUGCCUUGUCAGCAGGCCCUGUUGCCAUCGCCAACGCCAAGAUCAACCCCGCCCAGGCCACCGACGAGAAGAAGGAAGACCUUGGUUGGUAUCUCCAGUUUCACAGUGGGACACUGCAGCCCGCGGCUCCAGGCCAAGAACCGAUCGAUGCCUAUCGCAAAAUUAGCGGAGAAGCUGCUUUGCCAAAGGCUGGGUAUCAUAGAGGAAGGUGAAAUGAUGACUGAGGAGGGCAUCAACAAGUAUGUCGCAUUGUUCAAUGGUAAACUGCCAGACAUUGCGGUGGCGGCUUUGCGUGCACUGUUCAAGCUUGACUGUGACCUGGCCACUGCUGUCGAAGACGCCCUAGUUGAGCAUGGUGGCGACACGGCCCCAGACCUACAGGCCAUGGGAAGUGAGGAGGCCACGGCGACGACAUGAUGAUGUUGCUGCACCGAUGAUGGAUGUAUUGUUAGUUUCUAAUGGAAGAUAACAACUUAUGCAUUUUGAAUUGGAAUGUUCGUGGAUUGAACUGCCCAGACCGUCGUUCUACUGUACAUGAAACCAUCGCCUCCACUUCUUGCAACAUUGUAUGUCUUCAAGAAACCAAGCUUGCAGCCGUGGAUCCUUUUAUCGCUGCUUUCCUAGGCAGCCAUCGUCUGAAAAGUUUCGCUGAGCGGCCCGCGAAUGGCACCCGUGAAGGAAUUCUUCUAUUAUGGAAUGAAGACCUAGUAAAGAUUGAUAAUGUGAGCUUUGGGGACUUCUUCCUCUCGGCAAUGGUGACUAUCAUUGGCUCAAACACAUCCUUCCAAAUCACAACCGUGUAUGGCCCUACUAGAGGCAAUUUGAAGGAUGCCUUUUUCCAUGAAAUGGUUGGACAAAAACCUCCUGCUGGCAUGAGAUGGAUUGUCACCGGCGACUUCAACCAAGUCUAUCGGGCCAGAGAUAAGAACCGUACAAAUGUCGAUCGCAGCCGUAUUGUUCGCUUCCGCAACGCCCUCAAUGCUUGUGAGCUAAAGGAGAUACAUUUGCAGAAUAGGAAAUUCACAUGGAGCAAUGAACAAGCAAACCCGACCAUGAGAAAACUUGAUAGCUUCUUUUGCAAUGAAGAUUGGGACAUUCAGUUUGGCUCCCACCUUCUCCACGCAUUGUCAUCUUCAUUGUCCGACCACUGCCCUCUACUCCUCGCUAGUGAUGUGGGGCCCUCCCGGCCAAAAUGCUUCCGCUUUGAAAACUUUUGGAUCAAGAUGCCUAACUUCAAGAAGACUGUCCAAGAUGCUUGGAAUGAGAGAGUCCCCCAUGUUGAACCAUGUCAAAUCCUCUUUCACAAGCUAUAAAGAGUUAGUCAACGCCUUCGCACUUGGAGCAAAAAGUCCAACUUCACAUGGCCCUUGAUAUCAUUCUUAGAUUGGAUUUGGCCCAAGAAAGUAGAACAUUGAGCUUUGAGGAGAGGGACCUUCGGAGGAAGCUCAAAAGAAAGAUUGUGGCCCUUGCCGUUCUUGAGAGAACUAGAAAGAGACAAAGCUCCAGGGUUACUUUGCUCAAAGAGGGUGAUGCCAACACGCGUUUCUUCCACCUUCGCGUCAACCACAGAAGAAGAAAAAAAUUUAUUCAUCGGUUGAAACAUAACAAUGGAUGGGUCACAAACCACGAGGAUAAGAAGACGAUUGCACAAGAACACUUUAGGAAGGCCAUCAAAAAAGGGGUGCCCCGUGCUAUGGACCUCAACUGGGAAUUCAUCCCUGCUCCGGUUUCUGACCUCGCAGACUUGGCGAUGCCUUUCUCGUUGGAGGAGGUCAAGGCGGCAAUCUUUGCCCUCCCUAGUGAUAAAGCCCCAGGCCCUGACGGAUUCACCAGAGCCUUCUUCAAAGAGUGUUGGGAAAUAGUCCAACCUGAAAUCAUGGAGGUCAUCAACAACUUCUCUAACCUUCAUGUCUCCAACUUGCAUUGGCUGAACUCGGCAAACAUAGCUCUCAUUCCGAAGAAAGAUGGUGCAGAGGACAUCUCAGAUUUUCGACCAAUUAGUCUCAUCCAUGGUAUUGCCAAGAUCAUUGCAAAAAUGAUGGCCACACGGCUCACUCCUCAUAUGCACAAACUAGUCUCCAAUGCACAGAGUGCUUUCAUCAAGAAAAGAAGUAUCCAUGACAAUUUUAUGUAUGUGCGCAACUUGGCUAGGCGCUUCCAACGCAAAACUACACCAACUUUGCUUUUCAAGCUUGACAUAAAGAAGGCUUUUGAUUCGGUGCAUUGGGAUUACUUGAUGGAUUUGCUGCGCCACCAUGGCUUCCGAAGUCGCUUCAGAGAUUGGAUCUCCGCCCUUCUUUCCUCGGCAUCUUCGCGUGUGUUGCUCAAUGGUAUUGCCGGUGACCCAAUUCGGCAUGGUCGGGGCCUUCGUCAAGGGGACCCUCUCUCCCCAUUGCUAUUUGUGCUUGCCAUUGACCCGUUGCACCACAUCCUUGCCAAGGCGACUUCUCAAGGUCAUCUUCAACCGCUCAGAGGUCGACCCAUCCGUGCGUCACUUUAUGCUGAUGACGCUGCCAUUUUAAUUGCCCCAAUAAAAAAUGGCAUUCAGUUCCUGGCUUCAACUCUUGCAUCCUUUGGUGAUGUUACAGGAUUGGUCACUAAUUGUGCCAAAAGUGUAGUUGCGCCCAUUCGAUGCGGUAACAUUGACCUUGAUGACGUCCUGCAAGCCUUCCUAGCGGUUCGCUCCACCUUCCCUAUGAGAUAUUUGGGGCUUCCCCUUUCGGUUUCAAGGCUUAAGAGGAUUCACUUUCAGUUCUUAGAGGAUAAAGUUGCGGGGAAACUACCACCUUGGGUUGCCAAACAUGUGGCCGCGCCAGGUCGUGUCGUCUUGGUCAAGGCAGUGCUUACCGCCAUUGCUAUAUAUCAUAUUACGCCCCUGGAAUUGCCGGUGGAAGUGAGGAAGAAGAUUGACAGCUUGCGGCGUGCCUACCUUUGGGCGGGUUGCGAUAAAGUGACCGGUGGAAAAUGUAAGGUCAACUGGGAACUUGUUUGCAAGCCCAAGAUCUUCGGUGGUUUGGGCAUCCUCAACCUUGAGAAGUUUGCUACUGCCCUUCGACUGCGAUGGCUUUGGUAUGAGUGGGCUGACCCCCCCAAGACUUGGGCUGGGACGGGAACACCGUGCAAUGAUGAUGAUAGAGACCUGUUUGCGGCAGCCACCAUGGUUAGUGUUGGAAACGGAUGUAAGGCGAAGUUGGAAUCAUCUUGGCUCAACGGUAUGAGACCCAAAGAUAUUGCCCCAAAGGUAUUUGACCUCUCCAAAAAGAAAUCUACCUCGGUCCAAAAAGCUCUCCUCAACAAUUAUUGGGUUAGUCAGAUUGAUACCCAUCAUGGGCUCACCAUGGAGCAUAUCCAGGAGUUCGCCUUGCUAUGGAAAAAGCUAUCCUCUGUUACUCUCGACAAUGAUGUGCAUGAUACUAUCCUAUGGAAGUUCACGUCUCAUGGACUUUUUAGGUGUCGACCGCCUAUAUGGCGCAGUUUGCGGGACACACGACAAGCAUCAUGCCUGCUGCUGUUUGAAAGGGUUGGGCCCCUCCGAAAUGCAAUUUUUUUGCUUGGUUGAUAAUUCAAAACAGAGUUUGGACAGCCGAUCGAUUGCACCGUCGUGGAUGGCCGAACUGCAACCUCUGCCCGCUUUGCAAGCAAGUCCAGGAAACCGCAGCACACCUUCUCUUCCAAUGCAGGUUCUCCCAGCGUGUCUGGAUCGAGGUUGCAGCAUGGCUCGGUAUACAUGGUGAUGUGGUGAGGAACUGGCGAAAUGAGGUUUCGGUUCAAGAAUGGUGGAUUAAAAAUGUGGUUGAGCGUGGAGAUCAGAGAAAGGCUAUCGCCUCCCUGUUCAUGCUCAUGUCUUGGGAGAUUUGGAAAGAGCGUAAUGGAAGAGUUUUCCGUAACACCGACACUACAACGAUGAUGCUCAUCGCGAAGAUAAAAGAGGAGGCCCAUCUUUGGGCUAUUGCCGGUGCCACCCACUUGAGUAUUGUAAUGCCGCGAGAGUAGAUAUUUGUCUCCCGCUUUGCGGCCAUUUGUCUUAAACCUUCUCCCUUAAUCAAUGAAAAUGGCAAAUCUUUUGCCUUGUUUCAAAAAAUACAUCGUACAGCACAAUCCGGCAUCAACUGUUGAAUGUACAUAUCAAUAGUACGAUGGUAAGCCACAUGGGUUGGACAAACUACAAGAAUGUCUGCAUAUAUGCCCAAUGGCAUGUGGUUUUAAACAUUCAGCCCCCGAUCACGCUUUAG
Molecule: long non-coding RNA, 6258 nt
Filed under: Triticum aestivum (bread wheat)
Lineage: Eukaryota; Viridiplantae; Streptophyta; Magnoliopsida; Poales; Poaceae
Description: long non-coding RNA (TAES_LNC010047)
Source: RNAcentral